This 253-nucleotide ribosomal RNA is filed under the name uncultured bacterium. RNAcentral describes it as "partial 16S ribosomal RNA". It matches the Rfam family "Bacterial small subunit ribosomal RNA", at positions 524 to 776 of the family's 1533-position model. The record is from RNAcentral.
UACGUAGGGUGCAAGCGUUGUCCGGAAUUAUUGGGCGUAAAGAGCUUGUAGGCGGUUUGUCGCGUCUGCUGUGAAAUUUCGGGGCUCAACCCCGAACUUGCAGUGGGUACGGGCAGACUAGAGUGUGGUAGGGGAGACUGGAAUUCCUGGUGUAGCGGUGAAAUGCGCAGAUAUCAGGAGGAACACCGAUGGCGAAGGCGGUUCUCUGGGACGGUACUGACGCUGAGACGCGAAAGCGUGGGGAGCGAACAGG